This 468-nucleotide ribosomal RNA is filed under the name uncultured bacterium. RNAcentral's name for it is "partial 16S ribosomal RNA". It matches the Rfam family "Bacterial small subunit ribosomal RNA", at positions 28 to 507 of the family's 1533-position model. The record is from RNAcentral.
GACGAACGCUGGCGGCGUGCUUAACACAUGCAAGUCGAACGGAAAGGCCCUGCUUUUGUGGGGUGCUCGAGUGGCGAACGGGUGAGUAACACGUGAGUAACCUGCCCUUGUCUUUGGGAUAACUUCAGGAAACUGGGGCUAAUACCGGGUAGGAGCUCCUGCUGCAUGGGGGGGGUUGGAAAGUUACGGCGGUUGGGGAUGGACUCGCGGCUUAUCAGCUUGUUAGUGGGGUAGUGGCUUACCAAGGCUUUGACGGGUAGCCGGCCUGAGAGGGUGACCGGCCACAUUGGGACUGAGAUACGGCCCAGACGCCUACGGGAGGCAGCAGUGGGAAAUAUUGCACAAUGGGCGGAAGCCUGAUGCAGCAACGCCGCGUGCGGGAUGACGGCCUUCGGGGGGUAAACCGCUUUCGCCUGUGACGAAGCGUGAGUGACGGUAAUGGGUAAAGAAGCACCGGCUAACUACGUG